GCAUCGGUGGGGUACUGGAAACCCACAGCCCAGCCGUGGAUGAAAUCAAGAACGUUCUUUGCGAGGCUGAGCCCGGGGUUCGAAUCCCCGCCGGUGUA
Mycena epipterygia is the source of this 98-nucleotide non-coding RNA. The record is from the annotation of a GenBank genome assembly. NCBI's taxonomy places the organism in Eukaryota, Fungi, Basidiomycota, Agaricomycetes, Agaricales, Mycenaceae.